CGUAAACCGACACAGGUGGGUGGGAUGAGUAUUCUAAGGCGCGUGGAAGAACUCUCUUUAAGGAACUCUGCAAAAUAGCACCGUAUCUUCGGUAUAAGGUGUGGUUCGCUUCGUAUUAGGAUUUACUCCGAAAGCGAAGAAACUUACAACAAAGAGUCCCUCCCGACUGUUUACCAAAAACACAGCACUCUGCUAACUCGUAAGAGGAUGUAUAGGGUGUGACGCCUGCCCGGUGCUCGAAGGUUAAUUGAUGGGGUUAGCAUUAGCGAAGCUCUUGAUCGAAGCCCGAGUAAACGGCGGCCGUAACUAUAACGGUCCUAAGGUAGCGAAAUUCCUUGUCGGUUAAAUACCGACCUGCAUGAAUGGCGUAACGAGAUGGGAGCUGUCUCAAAGAGGGAUCCAGUGAAAUUGUAGUGGAGGUGAAAAUUCCUCCUACCCGCGGCAAGACGGAAAGACCCCGUGGACCUUUACUACAGCUUGACACUGCUAUUUGGAUAAGAAUGUGCAGGAUAGGUGGGAGGCUUUGAGUAUAUGACGCCAGUUGUAUAUGAGCCAUUGUUGAGAUACCACUCUUUCUUAUUUGGGUAGCUAACCAGCUUGAGUUAUCCUCAAGUGGGACAAUGUCUGGUGGGUAGUUUGACUGGGGCGGUCGCCUCCCAAAUAAUAACGGAGGCUUACAAAGGUUGGCUCAGAACGGUUGGAAAUCGUUCGUAGAGUAUAAAGGUAUAAGCCAGCUUAACUGCAAGACAUACAAGUCAAGCAGAGACGAAAGUCGGUCUUAGUGAUCCGGUGGUUCUGUGUGGAAGGGCCAUCGCUCAAAGGAUAAAAGGUACCCCGGGGAUAACAGGCUGAUCUCCCCCAAGAGCUCACAUCGACGGGGAGGUUUGGCACCUCGAUGUCGGCUCAUCGCAUCCUGGGGCUGGAGCAGGUCCCAAGGGUAUGGCUGUUCGCCAUUUAAAGCGGUACGCGAGCUGGGUUCAGAACGUCGUGAGACAGUUCGGUCCCUAUCUGCCGUGGGCGUAAGAAGAUUGAAGAGAUUUGACCCUAGUACGAGAGGACCGGGUUGAACAAACCACUGGUGUAGCUGUUGUUCUGCCAAGAGCAUCGCAGCGUAGCUAAGUUUGGAAAGGAUAAACGCUGAAAGCAUCUAAGCGUGAAGCCAACUCUAAGAUGAAUCUUCUCUAAGCUCUCUAGAAGACUACUAGUUUGAUAGGCUGGGUGUGUAAUGGAUGAAAGUCCUUUAGCUGACCAGUACUAAUAGAGCGUUUGGCUUAUCUUUAAUAAAGCAU
This 1289-nucleotide ribosomal RNA is filed under the name Campylobacter coli. RNAcentral describes it as "partial 23S ribosomal RNA". It matches the Rfam family "Bacterial large subunit ribosomal RNA", at positions 1648 to 2925 of the family's 2925-position model. The record is from RNAcentral. Lineage: Bacteria; Pseudomonadati; Campylobacterota; Epsilonproteobacteria; Campylobacterales; Campylobacteraceae.